RNAcentral lists this transfer RNA (72 nucleotides) under Cavia porcellus (domestic guinea pig). It matches the Rfam family "tRNA". Rfam says of the family: Transfer RNA (tRNA) molecules are approximately 80 nucleotides in length. Their secondary structure includes four short double-helical elements and three loops (D, anti-codon, and T loops). Further hydrogen bonds mediate the characteristic L-shaped molecular structure. tRNAs have two regions of fundamental functional importance: the anti-codon, which is responsible for specific mRNA codon recognition, and the 3' end, to which the tRNAs corresponding amino acid is attached (by aminoacyl-tRNA synthetases). tRNAs cope with the degeneracy of the genetic code in two manners: having more than one tRNA (with a specific anti-codon) for a particular amino acid; and 'wobble' base-pairing, i.e. permitting non-standard base-pairing at the 3rd anti-codon position. Lineage: Eukaryota; Metazoa; Chordata; Mammalia; Rodentia; Caviidae. The record is from Rfam by way of RNAcentral.
GGGGAUAUAGCUCAGUGGCGCAGUGCCUGCCUGGCAAGCAUUAAGUCCUGAGUUGGAUUCUCAGUACCCCCU